GGGGAUUUAGCUCAACAGCAUGAGCACCUGCCUGGCAAGCAUGAGGUUGUAAGUUCAAUCCCUG
Molecule: transfer RNA, 64 nt
Filed under: Cavia porcellus (domestic guinea pig)
Lineage: Eukaryota; Metazoa; Chordata; Mammalia; Rodentia; Caviidae
Rfam family: tRNA
About the family: Transfer RNA (tRNA) molecules are approximately 80 nucleotides in length.
Source: Rfam by way of RNAcentral